RNAcentral lists this transfer RNA (72 nucleotides) under Ictidomys tridecemlineatus (thirteen-lined ground squirrel). RNAcentral's name for it is "Spermophilus tridecemlineatus (thirteen-lined ground squirrel) tRNA". It matches the Rfam family "tRNA". Rfam says of the family: Transfer RNA (tRNA) molecules are approximately 80 nucleotides in length. Their secondary structure includes four short double-helical elements and three loops (D, anti-codon, and T loops). The record is from Rfam by way of RNAcentral. Lineage: Eukaryota; Metazoa; Chordata; Mammalia; Rodentia; Sciuridae.
GGGAUUGUGGCUCAGUGGUAAAGCACUUGCCUAGCAUGUGUGAGGCCCUGGGUUCAAUCCUCAGCACCACCU